GUCGGUAUAAACCGUGAGGAAGGUGGGGAUGAAGUCAAAUCAGCACGGCCCUUAUGUACAGGUUUUACACCCGUGUUACAAUGGCCGGUAAAGAGGGCAGCUACCUGGAGACAGGAUGCGAAUCUCGAAAGCCGAUAUCAGUUCGGAUCGGAGUCUGCAACUCGACUCCGUGAAGCUGGAUUCGCUAGUAAUCGCGCAUCAGCUAAAAGAGCGGUGAAUACGUUCCCGGGCCUUGUACACCCCUCCAAGGAGGUAUGCACUGAGGUAAGCCUGAACCAUUACAUCCCGCGUGCAGGAAGACGGCGCUAUGCGUUGUAAACUGCUUUUCCAGGGGAAGAAAACCCGCUACGAGUAGCGGCUUGCCGGUACCUUGGGAAUAAGCAUCAGCUAACUCCGUGCCAGCAGCCGCGGUAAUACGGAGGAUGCGAGCGUUAUCCGGAUUUAUUGGGUUUAAAGGGUGCGUAGGCGGAUUAAUAAGUCUGUGGUGAAAACCUGCAGCUUAACUGUAGAAUUGCCAUUGAUACUGUUAAUCUUGAGUACAGUCAAUGUAGGCGGAAUGUGUAUUGCAGCGGUGAAAUGCUUAUAUAUUACACAGAACACCUAUUGCUAAGGCAGCUUACUGGGCCUUUAGUGACGCUGAGGCACAAAAG
RNAcentral lists this ribosomal RNA (650 nucleotides) under uncultured bacterium. RNAcentral describes it as "bacterial SSU rRNA". The stretch from base 188 to 650 matches the Rfam family "Bacterial small subunit ribosomal RNA", at positions 1 to 759 of the family's 1533-position model. The record is from RNAcentral.